GGUCUUUGCAGUGGCUGGAGAAGCAGGAAUUGAUUUAAAGGCAGUCAAUUCAUGGUUGCCAGAGAGACAUCUUUACAGGUUGAGGCCCUGCUGGUAGGGCCAAAUGCAGGAUGAGGAGCUUCUCCAUGUAUAAUUCACUGGAAUAUGUGAUAUCGACUGCUCUUCUGUAAGCCUGUCAUUUUCCAUCCUGAAGUUUUUUUUGUGUUUUGGUAGAACAAUGUGCGUUCUGUUCACCAUCACCUGACUAAGCUUUAUACAACUUCUAUGAAUCUACUAUUGUAACUUUAAAUAUGGUUCAAGGGUGCUCUGCCUUGUCAGGGUGACUUAGGUGCUCAUCUGGGCUAUAAAACCCUCACUAAGAGCAGUGCUCGGCACAAGGCAGUCUGACGCCUGGUGAAUGAUCCAUUACUUAAAAGCUCAUCAAAGUUGCAGCACUUCUGAGGGGCAGGAAGCCCCA
RNAcentral lists this long non-coding RNA (457 nucleotides) under Homo sapiens (human). Its description in RNAcentral is "HSALNT0140665". Lineage: Eukaryota; Metazoa; Chordata; Mammalia; Primates; Hominidae. The record is from RNAcentral.